RNAcentral lists this ribosomal RNA (253 nucleotides) under uncultured bacterium. RNAcentral's name for it is "partial 16S ribosomal RNA". It matches the Rfam family "Bacterial small subunit ribosomal RNA", at positions 524 to 776 of the family's 1533-position model. The record is from RNAcentral.
UACAGAGGGUGCAAGCGUUGUUCGGAAUUAUUGGGCGUAAAGAGCUCGUAGGCGGUUUGUCGCGUCGAAUGUGAAAACCCGGGGCUCAACCCCGGGCCUGCAUUCGAUACGGGCAGACUAGAGUUCGGUAGGGGAGUCUGGAAUUCCUGGUGUAGCGGUGAAAUGCGCAGAUAUCAGGAGGAACACCGGUGGCGAAGGCGGGACUCUGGGCCGAUACUGACGCUGAGGAGCGAAAGCGUGGGGAGCAAACAGG